UAAUCCUGGAUAUUCUGCCAUCUCAAGGCCCUCAGCCAGAUGACAUCUGCAAACUCUGCUUUGAGAAACCAUGUAAUAUAGGGUAUAGGGCUAUUGAUACGGAAAUCCUUUGUAUGUGUAUCUUUGGGGGUGGGGGUCAUUAGCUUACCACAGCCAUCACAUCAUGUACACUAUUAUGCUUUCCUUUUUGGUCUCUUAUUUUUCUUAUUUCAUUUAUUAUUCUUUUCUAGAUGGGGUCUGGCUUUGUUACCCAGGCUGGAGUGCGGUGGUGCAGUCAGAGCUUACUGCACUCUUGAACACUUGGGCUUAAGGGAUCCUCCUGCCUCAGCCUUCCAAAGUGGUUAAAUUACAGGCAUGAGCCAUCUCGCCCAGCCACCAGCCAAUUUUCAGGUUUUUUUUUUUUUGUAGAGAUGGGGUCUCCCCAUCUUGCCCAGGCUGGUCUCAAAUUCCUGGACUCAAUCAGUCCUCCUGCCUCAGCCUCCGAAAGUUCUGGGAUUACAGACGUGAGCCACUACCCUCAGCCGAGAAUUGCCAACACUACGUGGAAUAAAAGUGGUAACAGUGUACAUCUUUGCCUUGUCCCCAACCUUGGGAAAGGAAUCUCACUUUUUGACCAUGAUGUAUGAUGUUUGCUCUAAGGUUUUGUAGGUACCCUAUUGAGGAAGUUUUCCAACAUACUGUUUUCCAUAGUGGGUGUGCCAUUGUACAUUCUCACCACCAAGCAUAGGAGGAUUACAAACUCUCUUGCCUGUGAUGUAGGUUCACUUCGCACUGGUUACCAAAUGUCUGACUCCAGUGAGACAGAACCCAUGCACACAAGUUCAAUAAAGUGAGUUUACUACUGACAGGCAACAAGGGGCAGUAGAAGCCUAGGAUUGAUUCAUUGCAAGCUGGUCCCCCAAGGCUCAGGAAAACUGCUUGGGGAAGAUGGAGUCUUAUCUACUGGUGUCCCACCGGCACUGAUGCUGACGGACCUCAGAGAGCACCCAUCCUAGGUUUUAUGGCACAUGGCCUCGUGAUGAGCCACCCUAAAGCACUGAAGGAUAUCCUGUUUUUUGAAAGAGGGGCAGGGGACUCUGGAAUGGAGCCCAGGCUGCUUGGGCCAGUUUCCUCAUUUCAGGGUAUUACCUUCCCAAUACAUUCUGAAGUUGUUCUUGAGAACUACAAGCAAGGAAGGAGAGAAAAAUAAUUUAAGGUUGUUCCUUUAAUGUAUACAUCCCACGGUACCUUACUUCUACAAAACCAAAAGACAGCUCAGGAAGCCUUAUCAAAUUUGCUGUCUCCACAUCUCCUGUUGGAACUUUCAAGUGCCAAUUAACAAUAUCAAGUUAAUUAAGAAGAAAAUGGAUGGGGGAAAAUAAUGGAGAUUCAAAGGACUUCUCUCAUGAAGGUGGACAUUUUUAAAUGGUCAUUAAGAAAAAAGGUGAAUAAAGCAAGCAUUCAUGA
Molecule: long non-coding RNA, 1446 nt
Filed under: Macaca fascicularis (crab-eating macaque)
Lineage: Eukaryota; Metazoa; Chordata; Mammalia; Primates; Cercopithecidae
Description: lncRNA (ENSMFAG00000048739.1)
Source: RNAcentral